RNAcentral lists this ribosomal RNA (253 nucleotides) under uncultured bacterium. RNAcentral's name for it is "partial 16S ribosomal RNA". It matches the Rfam family "Bacterial small subunit ribosomal RNA", at positions 524 to 776 of the family's 1533-position model. The record is from RNAcentral.
UACGUAGGGACCAAGCGUUGUCCGGAAUCAUUGGGCGUAAAGCGCGCGUAGGCGGCCCGGUAAGUCCGUUGUAAAAGUCAAAGGCUCAACCUUUGAAUGCCGAUGGAUACUGCCGGGCUAGAGUCCGGAAGAGGCGAGUGGAAUUCCUGGUGUAGCGGUGAAAUGCGCAGAUAUCAGGAGGAACACCAAUUGCGAAGGCAGCUCGCUGGGACGUUACUGACGCUGAGACGCGAAAGCGUGGGGAGCAAACAGG